UCUUCGGAUUGUAAACCGCUGUCAAGAGGGACGAAUACAAUUGACGGUACCUCUGGAGGAAGUCACGGCUAACUACGUGCCAGCAGCCGCGGUAAUACGUAGGUGACAAGCGUUGUUCGGAUUCACUGGGCGUAAAGGGUCCGCAGGUGGUUUGAUAAGUCUGACGUGAAAUACCGGAGCUCAACUCCGGAACUGCGUUGGAGACUGUUGAACUGGAGUAUCGGAGAGGAAAUUGGAAUUCCAGGUGUAGCGGUGGAAUGCGUAGAUAUCUGGAAGAACAUCGACAGCGAAGGCAGAUUUCUGGACGAUAACUGACACUCAGGGACGAAAGCAUGGGGAGCAAACAGGAUUAGAUACCCUGGUAGUCCAUGCCCUAAACGUUGUAAACUUGAUAUGGGGAGAUUUACUCCUUUCCGUGUCGAAGCUAACGCGAUAAGUUUACCGCCUGGGAACUACGGCCGCAAGGCUACAACUCAAAGGAAUUGACGGA
RNAcentral lists this ribosomal RNA (490 nucleotides) under uncultured organism. Its description in RNAcentral is "bacterial SSU rRNA". It matches the Rfam family "Bacterial small subunit ribosomal RNA", at positions 415 to 917 of the family's 1533-position model. The record is from RNAcentral.